GGAGGUGUAGCUCAAGUGGUAGAGUGAAUGCAUAGCAUACACGAGGUCCUGGGUUUAAUCCCCAGUACCUCCU
Molecule: transfer RNA, 73 nt
Filed under: Camelus bactrianus (Bactrian camel)
Lineage: Eukaryota; Metazoa; Chordata; Mammalia; Artiodactyla; Camelidae
Also listed under: 2 other names
Rfam family: tRNA
About the family: Transfer RNA (tRNA) molecules are approximately 80 nucleotides in length. Their secondary structure includes four short double-helical elements and three loops (D, anti-codon, and T loops).
Source: Rfam by way of RNAcentral